GCUCCUUUCUCUCUCCUGCCUCUCAAAAAGAUGCUAUUCCUGUGAUUAAAACCAUUACAGUGCUUCAAAGGUUAUACAUGACUUUCAGGCUUCAACCUCAAUAGAAGCAGAAAUACAUCAUCGUAAAUUUAUUAAGUGCUGUGAAAUUCAGAUUUUUAAAAGUUUGUGCAGAUGUCAUUGGUGCCUAACCCACAUCGCCUGGGCACUCAACAUUCGCAUGCAAGGAGAUAGUUUCCUACUACAAGGACCUGCCACUCUCCUCGAGUGUCUCCUGCAUCCAGGCUAGAAGCAUCGGAGGGAUUAAUGGUUGUAUUCCAC
RNAcentral lists this long non-coding RNA (318 nucleotides) under Homo sapiens (human). RNAcentral's name for it is "HSALNT0369407". The record is from RNAcentral. Lineage: Eukaryota; Metazoa; Chordata; Mammalia; Primates; Hominidae.